Molecule: ribosomal RNA, 62 nt
Filed under: uncultured Tintinnida
Lineage: Eukaryota; Ciliophora; Spirotrichea; Tintinnida
Description: partial 28S ribosomal RNA
Source: RNAcentral
GCGACGGAAGCGGGAAAAGCCCACACUGGAAAUCUCCGGGCGUACGCUCGGCGAAUUGUAAU